RNAcentral lists this ribosomal RNA (443 nucleotides) under uncultured bacterium. Its description in RNAcentral is "partial 16S ribosomal RNA". It matches the Rfam family "Bacterial small subunit ribosomal RNA", at positions 338 to 795 of the family's 1533-position model. The record is from RNAcentral.
CCUACGGGGGGCAGCAGUGGGGAAUAUUGGACAAUGGGGGGAACCCUGAUCCAGCGACGCCGCGUGAGUGAAGAAGUAUUUCGGUAUGUAAAGCUCUAUCAGCAGGGAAGAAAGAAAUGACGGUACCUGACUAAGAAGCCCCGGCUAACUACGUGCCAGCAGCCGCGGUAAUACGUAGGGGGCAAGCGUUAUCCGGAUUUACUGGGUGUAAAGGGAGCGUAGACGGCGAUGCAAGUCUGAAGUGAAAGGCGGGGGCCCAACCCCCGGACUGCUUUGGAAACUGUAUGGCUGGAGUGCAGGAGAGGUAAGUGGAAUUCCUAGUGUAGCGGUGAAAUGCGUAGAUAUUAGGAGGAACACCAGUGGCGAAGGCAGCAUACCGGCGCUCAACUGACGCUCAUGCACGAAAGUGUGGGUAUCGAACAGGAUUAGAUACCCGUGUAGUC